RNAcentral lists this ribosomal RNA (468 nucleotides) under uncultured bacterium. RNAcentral describes it as "partial 16S ribosomal RNA". It matches the Rfam family "Bacterial small subunit ribosomal RNA", at positions 28 to 507 of the family's 1533-position model. The record is from RNAcentral.
GACGAACGCUGGCGGCGUGCUUAACACAUGCAAGUCGAACGGAAAGGCCCUGCUUUUGUGGGGUGCUCGAGUGGCGAACGGGUGAGUAACACGUGAGUAACCUGCCCUUGACUUUGGGAUAACUUCAGAAAACUGGGGCUAAUACCGGAUAGGAGCUCCUGCUGCAUGGUGGGGGUGGGAAAGUUUCGGCGGUUGGGGAUGGACUCGCGGCUUAUCAGCUUGUUGGUGGGGUAGUGGCUUACCAAGGCUUUGACGGGUAGCCGGCCUGAGAGGGUGACCGGCCACAUUGGGACUGAGAUACGGCCCAGACUCCUACGGGAGGCAGCAGUGGGGAAUAUUGCACAAUGGGCGGAAGCCUGAUGCAGCAACGCCGCGUGCGGGAUGACGGCCUUCGGGUUGUAAACCGCUUUCGCCUGUGACGAAGCGUGAGUGACGGUAAUGGGUAAAGAAGCACCGGCUAACUACGUG